AGUCUUCAUAGCAGCUAAUAAUCCAUACCACCCAUGUUGUCAGGCAUUGUAGGACUGUCUUUAUCUUCUUUUGGGAGUUCAGAAACAAUAACUUCGGUUGUUAUCAUCAAAGACGAUACACUGCAGAAAAAUGAUGGUACAUUUUCUUAUACGAGACUAUAACAAAAUCAAAGUUUGAGAUGCAAUUGACACAGGAGCCAAUACAUGAUCGAAUAUCGCGAAAUGUUGCAUCUGCACUAGCAUCCUUAAAGUAACCACCCACACAAAAAGUUUGUUGUUAUGGCCAAGGAUUUUGAUUCUGUCUUGUAAACUUUCUGUCAAAUGGGACUUCAACCAAUAAUUCGGAAGAAGUCUGAAAUUCUACUUGAAAGUAUUCAUCCCUACCUCUGAAAUUCUGCUUGAAAGUAUUCAUCGUCCCU
Molecule: long non-coding RNA, 419 nt
Organism: Vicia villosa (hairy vetch)
Lineage: Eukaryota; Viridiplantae; Streptophyta; Magnoliopsida; Fabales; Fabaceae
Exons: 3
Source: RefSeq, a predicted model, not a curated record